AAACCAACAGGGAUUGCCUCAGUAACGGCGAGUGAAGCGGCAAAAGCUCAAAUUUGAAAUCCCCCCGGGGAGUUGUAAUUUGAAGAUUGCGUCUUGGAGGCGACCGUGUCUAUGUUCCUUGGAACAGGACGUCACAGAGGGUGAGAAUCCCGUGCGGCACGGCCCCCGGCUCCUUAUAAGGCGCUCUCGACGAGUCGAGUUGUUUGGGAAUGCAGCUCAAAGUGGGUGGUAAAUUCCAUCUAAAGCUAAAUACAGGCGAGAGAGCGAUAGCGAACAAGUACAGUGAUGGAAAGAUGAAAAGCACUUUGAAAAGAGAGUGAAACAGCACGUGAAAUUGUUGAAAGGGAAGGGCAUGCCGUCAGAUUGUCAGUGUGGGUAAGAAGCGGGGUACAAAGACUGUGGAACGUGGCCCUCGGGUGUUAUAGCCGCAGUUCAUGCCCCGUCUCUUUCCGAGGCCUGCUUUGAGGACACCGACGUAAUGACGGUACGCCGC
Molecule: ribosomal RNA, 493 nt
Filed under: Kodamaea ohmeri
Lineage: Eukaryota; Fungi; Ascomycota; Pichiomycetes; Serinales; Debaryomycetaceae
Description: eukaryotic LSU rRNA
Rfam family: Eukaryotic large subunit ribosomal RNA
Source: RNAcentral